UAACUGAAAACUCAAAGGCAUCCA
RNAcentral lists this small RNA (24 nucleotides) under Arabidopsis thaliana (thale cress). RNAcentral's name for it is "ATSL241900". Lineage: Eukaryota; Viridiplantae; Streptophyta; Magnoliopsida; Brassicales; Brassicaceae. The record is from RNAcentral.